CCUACGGGAGGCAGCAGUGAGGAAUAUUGGUCAAUGGCCGUAAGGCUGAACCAGCCAAGUCGCGUGAAGGAAGAAGGUUCUAUGGAUCAUAAACCUCUUUUAUAAGGGAAUAAAGUGUGGGACGUGUCCUGUUUUGUAUGUACCUUAUGAAUAAGGAUCGGCUAACUCCGUGCCAGCAGCCGCGGUAAUACGGAGGAUCCGAGCGUUAUCCGGAUUUAUUGGGUUUAAAGGGUGCGUAGGCGGCCUUUUAAGUCAGCGGUGAAAGUCUGUGGCUCAACCAUAGAAUUGCCGUUGAAACUGGGGAUCUAGAGUGUGCGAGAGGUAUGCGGAAUGCGUGGUGUAGCGGUGAAAUGCAUAGAUAUCACGCAGAACCCCGAUUGCGAAGGCAGCAUACCGGUGCACAACUGACGCUCAGGCACGAAAGCGUGGGUAUCGAACAGGAUUAGAUACCCUUGUAGUC
RNAcentral lists this ribosomal RNA (460 nucleotides) under uncultured bacterium. RNAcentral's name for it is "partial 16S ribosomal RNA". It matches the Rfam family "Bacterial small subunit ribosomal RNA", at positions 338 to 795 of the family's 1533-position model. The record is from RNAcentral.